Non-coding RNA from Pelobates cultripes (western spadefoot toad), 241 nucleotides. NCBI's taxonomy places the organism in Eukaryota, Metazoa, Chordata, Amphibia, Anura, Pelobatidae. The record is from the annotation of a GenBank genome assembly.
CCAUUCUGAAGGGCUAAGUGGGGGAAGGGAACCCGUGAACCCCCAUUUGUGUCUGUGUUUAUAGUUAGUCCAUGCAGAGAAAGUAAAAUAGUUUUUCUUUAAACUUGUGGAGUUAUGGUGCUGAAGAAUCCAGUUGUGGAAAAUUGGUUUUCACACAAUACUACAUAGCACACUUAAAUACACCUAUGGAACACUGAGGCGGUAAACACAGAGCCCAAAAUGAUGUAGUCUGAUGUGAGGC